This 253-nucleotide ribosomal RNA is filed under the name uncultured bacterium. Its description in RNAcentral is "partial 16S ribosomal RNA". It matches the Rfam family "Bacterial small subunit ribosomal RNA", at positions 524 to 776 of the family's 1533-position model. The record is from RNAcentral.
UACGAAGGGGGCUAGCGUUGUUCGGAAUUACUGGGCGUAAAGCGCACGUAGGCGGCCAUUUAAGUCAGGGGUGAAAUCCCAGAGCUCAACUCUGGAACUGCCUUUGAUACUGGGUGUCUUGAGUAUGGAAGAGGUGAGUGGAAUUCCGAGUGUAGAGGUGAAAUUCGUAGAUAUUCGGAGGAACACCAGUGGCGAAGGCGGCUCACUGGUCCAUUACUGACACUGAGGUACGAAAGCGUGGGUAGCAAACAGG